CUCAGAUACAGCAAGGACCUCAGUGUUACCUAUCAGUUCAGUUCUCAAAAACGUGGCUCCAGACCUAAGCCUGCAAUGACUCAGGAUUUCAGAGGUUGUCGAUUUAGUCCUAAAAUGCAGAACAACUUUACACAGUAUGAGAACACAUGAAGCCAUUACACAAGAAAUUCAAAGAGUCUGCUGGAUCACCAAGUCAGCAGCAAUAUCUGCAAAACUUCCAUCAUCUCUCCUGUGAAGACAGGCUGAAGGAGCUGAGCUUGUUCAGUCUGGAGAAGAGAAUACUGUGAGUAGAUUUCACCACCC
Molecule: long non-coding RNA, 303 nt
Filed under: Numida meleagris (helmeted guineafowl)
Lineage: Eukaryota; Metazoa; Chordata; Aves; Galliformes; Numididae
Description: lncRNA (ENSNMEG00000019989.1)
Source: RNAcentral